GAUGAAGAACGUAGCGAAAUGCGAUAAGUAAUGUGAAUUGCAGAAUUCAGUGAAUCAUCGAAUCUUUGAACGCACAUUGCGCCCUCUGGUAUUCCGGGGGGCAUGCCUGUUCGAGCGUCAUUACAACCCUCAAGCUUUGUUUGGUAUUGGACAUUGCCAGUUUCUGGCAGGUCUUAAAAUCAGUGGCGGUGCCAUUUGGCUUCAAGCGUAGUAAUUCUUCUCGCUUUGGAGAUCCAGGUGGUUACUUGCCAAUAACCCCCAAUUUUUUCAGGUUGACCUCGGAUCAGGUAGGGAUACCCGCUGAACUUAAGCAUAUCAAUAAGCGGAGGA
RNAcentral lists this unclassified non-coding RNA (330 nucleotides) under soil metagenome. RNAcentral's name for it is "partial contains 5.8S ribosomal RNA, internal transcribed spacer 2, and large subunit ribosomal RNA". The stretch from base 1 to 120 matches the Rfam family "5.8S ribosomal RNA", at positions 35 to 154 of the family's 154-position model. The record is from RNAcentral.